Molecule: unclassified non-coding RNA, 200 nt
Filed under: soil metagenome
Description: partial contains internal transcribed spacer 2 and large subunit ribosomal RNA
Source: RNAcentral
CGACCAUCAAGCCUGGCUUGUUAUUGGACUCCUUUGCAACUGAAACAUGUGGCAGGUCCGAAAGAUAAUGACGGUGUCGUGUUUGACCCUAGAUGCAACGAGCUUUUCAUAGCACGCAUUGAAGUGGUCGGGCGACCCGGUCUUAACCAUCAUUUUCUAAGGUUGACCUCGGAUCAGGUAGGAAUACCCGCUGAACUUAA